CCUACGGGGGGCAGCAGUGGGGAAUAUUGGACAAUGGGGGCAACCCUGAUCCAGCCAUGCCGCGUGUGUGAAGAAGGCCCUCGGGUUGUAAAGCACUUUCAGUGAGGAAGAACGCCUGGUGGUUAAUACCCAUCAGGAAAGACAUCACUCACAGAAGAAGCACCGGCUAACUCCGUGCCAGCAGCCGCGGUAAUACGGAGGGUGCGAGCGUUAAUCGGAAUUACUGGGCGUAAAGCGCGCGUAGGUGGCUUGAUAAGCCGGUUGUGAAAGCCCCGGGCUCAACCUGGGAACGGCAUCCGGAACUGUCAAGCUAGAGUGCAGGAGAGGAAGGUAGAAUUCCCGGUGUAGCGGUGAAGUGCGUAGAGAUCGGGAGGAAUACCAGUGGCGAAGGCGGCCUUCUGGACUGACACUGACACUGAGGUGCGAAAGCGUGGGUAGCAAACAGGAUUAGAUACCCGUGUAGUC
Molecule: ribosomal RNA, 465 nt
Filed under: Vreelandella stevensii
Lineage: Bacteria; Pseudomonadati; Pseudomonadota; Gammaproteobacteria; Oceanospirillales; Halomonadaceae
Description: partial 16S ribosomal RNA
Rfam family: Bacterial small subunit ribosomal RNA
Source: RNAcentral